This 446-nucleotide ribosomal RNA is filed under the name uncultured bacterium. RNAcentral's name for it is "bacterial SSU rRNA". It matches the Rfam family "Bacterial small subunit ribosomal RNA", at positions 329 to 792 of the family's 1533-position model. The record is from RNAcentral.
GUCCAGACUCCUACGGGAGGCAGCAGUGGGGAAUAUUGCACAAUGGGGGAAACCCUGAUGCAGCGACGCCGCGUGAGCGAUGAAGUAUUUCGGUAUGUAAAGCUCUAUCAGCAGGGAAGAAGAUGACGGUACCUGACUAAGAAGCCCCGGCUAACUACGUGCCAGCAGCCGCGGUAAUACGUAGGGGGCAAGCGUUAUCCGGAUUUACUGGGUGUAAAGGGAGCGUAGACGGCAGUGCAAGUCCGGAGUGAAAGCCCGGGGCUCAACCCUGGGACUGCUCUGGAAACUGUAAAGCUGGAGUGCGGGAGGGGCAGGCGGAAUUCCUGGUGUAGCGGUGAAAUGCGUAGAUAUCAGGAGGAACACCGGCGGCGAAGGCGGCCUGCUGGACCGUAACUGACGUUGAGGCUCGAAAGCGUGGGGAGCAAACAGGAUUAGAUACCCGAGUA